Molecule: long non-coding RNA, 1965 nt
Filed under: Anser cygnoides (Swan goose)
Lineage: Eukaryota; Metazoa; Chordata; Aves; Anseriformes; Anatidae
Description: lncRNA (ENSACDG00005015473.1)
Source: RNAcentral
AUGAGUCUUGUAGAGCGGUGUAAGAAGAUAGACAUCAAGGUUUUUUGCUUGUUUGGAAGUUCUGUGUUGCCAUCUAUGAACUUUCUGUUACUGAUGCUGGAGCCAAGAGCAGGUCACCUGCCUCCCCUGACUCUCCCUGAACAAGAAGAGUAUUAUAGCCCUCUGCAGGAGUGCCUCAACAGCUCAGGUUAUCUUAUUGCAGCAAAAGAGGCGUAUUUUUAGUUACUGUUUCAUAUAACAUAAUGCUUUUGAAUAGGGGGAACACUUAAGUGAGUGAUUGUAUUAGAGCAGCUGUAAUUCUGGUCAAGUUGAACAACUGGAAAAAAUGAAAGACAGUGUGUUUGGGGGGGGGAGGGGUUAGUGUUAACCUGUGGCAAAUGCACUUUCAUUGUUGUUGUUCUUUAACACCCAUGUGUUUGCGUUGUAGAUCAAGGCGUCACUUAACAAAAGUGUUUUUCAGGCAAGACGAAUAUUGUCAGUCAACCGUUUCCAUGUGCUUAUAACUUUGGCCUGGGGGUGAAAUAUCAGAUCAUUUCCUUAAGAGGUGACAAAGAAAAUCUGGCUGGGAUCAAACACCAAGAUAAGGUUCUUGGUGGGAGGACAUAGGGAGUGAUAACCUUAUGUGGAAUUCAUGAAUGAACCUUUACGAGACUGACGUAGGUUGGCAUGAUAGAGCAUGUUGGGAUCAUUUUGUGACUCACUUGUGGACACAAUGUCGUUUAUGUCUUUCUGCACCAAAUGCGCUGCAUAGCCACUGAGACUACAACAUUGUUUCAGCGAUGCAGUUAGUCCCCUGCUAUCCUGUGUUGUUUGUUUUAAAGCAAAAUGAUCAUUUUCUCAUAUAGUCUAAAAAGAGUUCUCUUAACAGUUUUAACUCCAGUCAGUUGCUCUAGCUAGCUUUUAUUCUUAUUCGGGUUUCAGUAUAUGUAUUUUUUUGCAUAACAGGAUGACAGACAGCAAAAGCAUCCUGUGUGUAUUUAAAGUGGGUAUCUACUUGAUGGAGUGGUGCUGUCAUAGGUCAGAGUGAAGUGAUUGAAAUGUCACUAUAGAGCUCUGCAAUGAGUGUCAAAGGGUAAAGUCUGAUUUCCAUAGGCUCUGCUCGCCUGAAGUCCUUCCUUUGUCUGGUAACAGAGCUGUAUUCUGAUUGCUGCAUGCCAGUUAUACAUACCUCCCGAUUUCCUCCAUUCCUUAUGUUUCAGCCCACCUAGAAGCUUUCUAUUAAUGUAUCGAAUUGUCAUUGGGCUCACUUUGUUGCUUUGCAAUUGCUAGCCUGUCCAUUUGCUUAAUUGGUCCAUUUCCCAUUUGUUAGUUUUUCAGUCUGUGAAUCAUCAUUUGAAUAAUUUUUAGCUAACUAUUAAUUUAACACCAUUUAUAACGUGACUACAUUGUCUACACUCAUUUUUUCAUGAUUGGAAAGAGAAAGGUUUUUUUAUUACGAUGCAUAUCAGAUUUUCCAGUUAAUUGGUGGUUUGAAAAUGGGUGGAAAGUGAUGACUCUGUUCAGUAAUUACAAAGCUGAGGAGUCCAGGAUUAUUUUGGCUGGUUGAACAUGGGCAGUCAGUUCAGGAGCCAGUUUCUGCUUCUUUGCUUGGCUGAAGAAGGCCACAGGGACAGAGGAGUGGCCAAGAAGCUGUGUGAUCUUAUCGAGCUUGUUGGGCCUUGGUGGAUUGCCAGUGGCUUUAACCCUGCCACUGUGCCUAUUAGGACAAUGGCAUAAUUAACAUUACCGCUAAUUUUUUGCCUUCAGAAAUGCUAGUAAUACUCAUCCUACACAUCAGUUCAGGUUCAACAUCCGUCGUGUAUUAAAGUGGAGCCUGUAUGAGAAGUUGAUCCAAAAGAGAUGGCUAAACCUCACUGACUCUUCUGUGCCAAUCCAUCACUUCAAGGUUUAUACAGUGGCCCUCCUUGUAACAGCCUGUGAUUUAUGAGAAACUUGGGAGUAAAUAAAAGUGAACUGCUAGAAACA